GCUAUCAUGCAGUCGAGCGACUGAUUAGAAGCUUGCUUCUAUGACGUUAGCGGCGGACGGGUGAGUAACACGUGGGCAACCUGCCUGUAAGACUGGGAUAACUUCGGGAAACCGAAGCUAAUACCGGAUAGGAUCUUCUCCUUCAUGGGAGAUGAUUGAAAGAUGGUUUCGGCUAUCACUUACAGAUGGGCCCGCGGUGCAUUAGCUAGUUGGUGAGGUAACGGCUCACCAAGGCAACGAUGCAUAGCCGACCUGAGAGGGUGAUCGGCCACACUGGGACUGAGACACGGCCCAGACUCCUACGGGAGGCAGCAGUAGGGAAUCUUCCGCAAUGGACGAAAGUCUGACGGAGCAACGCCGCGUGAGUGAUGAAGGCUUUC
RNAcentral lists this ribosomal RNA (380 nucleotides) under Priestia megaterium. RNAcentral describes it as "bacterial SSU rRNA". It matches the Rfam family "Bacterial small subunit ribosomal RNA", at positions 46 to 419 of the family's 1533-position model. Lineage: Bacteria; Bacillati; Bacillota; Bacilli; Caryophanales; Bacillaceae. The record is from RNAcentral.